GACGAACGCUGGCGGCGUGCCUAAUACAUGCAAGUUGAGCGCUGAAGGUUGGUACUUGUACCAACUGGAUGAGCAGCGAACGGGUGAGUAACGCGUGGGUAAUCUGCCUUUGAGCGGGGGACAACAUUUGGAAACGAAUGCUAAUACCGCAUAAAAACUUUAAACACAAGUUUUAAGUUUGAAAGAUGCAAUUGCAUCACUCAAAGAUGAUCCCGCGUUGUAUUAGCUAGUUGGUGAGGUAAAGGCUCACCAAGGCGAUGAUACAUAGCCGACCUGAGAGGGGGAUCGGCCACAUUGGGACUGAGACACGGCCCAAACUCCUACGGGAGGCAGCAGGAGGGAAUCUUCGGCAAUGGACGAAAGGCUGACCGAGCAACGCCGCGUGAGGGAAGAAGGUUUUCGGAUCGGAAAAAUCUGUUGGUAGAGAAGAAAGUUGGUGGGAGUGGAAAGCUCAUCAAGUGACGGUAACUACCCAGAAAGGGACGGCUAACUACGUG
RNAcentral lists this ribosomal RNA (497 nucleotides) under uncultured bacterium. RNAcentral describes it as "partial 16S ribosomal RNA". It matches the Rfam family "Bacterial small subunit ribosomal RNA", at positions 28 to 507 of the family's 1533-position model. The record is from RNAcentral.